RNAcentral lists this ribosomal RNA (253 nucleotides) under uncultured bacterium. RNAcentral's name for it is "partial 16S ribosomal RNA". It matches the Rfam family "Bacterial small subunit ribosomal RNA", at positions 524 to 776 of the family's 1533-position model. The record is from RNAcentral.
UACGUAGGCAGCAAGCGUUGUUCGGAGUUACUGGGCGUAAAGGGUGUGUAGGCGGUUCUUUAAGUUUGGUGUGAAAUCUCCCGGCUCAACCGGGAGGGUGCGCCGAAUACUGAGGGACUAGAGUGUGGGAGAGGAAAGUGGAAUUCCUGGUGUAGCGGUGAAAUGCGUAGAUAUCAGGAGGAACACCGGUGGUGUAGACGGCUUUCUGGACGACAACUGACGCUGAGACGCGAAAGCGUGGGGAGCAAACAGG